Molecule: ribosomal RNA, 417 nt
Filed under: Basidentitermes aurivillii
Lineage: Eukaryota; Metazoa; Arthropoda; Insecta; Blattodea; Termitidae
Description: partial 12S ribosomal RNA
Source: RNAcentral
CCCUAUUAUUUUGGAAUGUUAAGUUUUAUUUUGCCUGAGUAGUAUUAGUUAUGUUCUUGAAACUUAAAGAAUUUGGCGGUACCUCAUUCCUCCCAGAGGAAUCUGUCUCGUUAUCGAUAGUCCACGUUGGACCUUACUUGGAUUGCUUGUGGUUUGUAUACCGCCGUUUAUUGAUUAUCUUUUUAGAGUUUAAGUAAUUUUCUGGUCUCUUUAUUUUGAUUUAUUUCAGGUCAAGGUGCAGCUUGUUUCUAAGUGAAUGAUGGAUUACAUUAUUAUUUGUUUUUGGAUUGUUGAUUUAGAUAUUAACAUGAAAUUGGAUUUGGUUGUAAUGAUUUGUAGAUUGUUUUUAUGAUAGUGGUUCUGGGGUAUGUACACAUCGCCCGUCGCUCUCGUUCAAAAUUGUUAAUGAGAUAAGUC